Small nucleolar RNA from Cynoglossus semilaevis (tongue sole), 77 nucleotides. The record is from Ensembl. NCBI's taxonomy places the organism in Eukaryota, Metazoa, Chordata, Actinopteri, Pleuronectiformes, Cynoglossidae.
UCUGUCAGUGAUGCUAAUAGUUAUGAUCGAGUUUCACAGCCAUGAGAAAACUCACAUGCACUACCAUCUGAGGCAGG